RNAcentral lists this ribosomal RNA (532 nucleotides) under uncultured bacterium. RNAcentral describes it as "partial 16S ribosomal RNA". It matches the Rfam family "Bacterial small subunit ribosomal RNA", at positions 355 to 878 of the family's 1533-position model. The record is from RNAcentral.
UGGGGAAUAUUGGACAAUGCGGCAGCAUGCAUCCAGCAAUGCCGCGUGUGUGAAGAAGGCCUUCGGGUUGUAAAGCACUUUUAUCAGGAGCGAAACGCUGUCGGCUAAUACCCGGCGGAACUGACGGUACCUGAGGAAUAAGCACCGGCUAACUUCGUGCCAGCAGCCGCGGUAAUACGAAGGGUGCAAGCGUUAAUCGGAAUUACUGGGCGUAAAGCGUGCGUAGGCGGUUUCUUAAGUCUGCUGUGAAAUCCCCGGGCUCAACCUGGGAAUGGCAGUGGAUACUGGGAGGCUAGAGUGUGUCAGAGGGUGGUGGAAUUCCCGGUGUAGCGGUGAAAUGCGUAGAGAUCGGGAGGAACAUCAGUGGCGAAGGCGGCCACCUGGGACAACACUGACGCUGAGGCACGAAAGCGUGGGGAGCAAACAGGAUUAGAUACCCUGGUAGUCCACGCCCUAAAGCGAUGCGAACUGGACGUUGGUCUCAACUCGGAGAUCAGUGUCGAAGCUAACGCGUUAAGUUCGCCGCCUGGGG